This 222-nucleotide ribosomal RNA is filed under the name uncultured bacterium. RNAcentral's name for it is "partial 16S ribosomal RNA". It matches the Rfam family "Bacterial small subunit ribosomal RNA", at positions 109 to 334 of the family's 1533-position model. The record is from RNAcentral.
AGUAAUGUCUGGGAAACUGCCUGAUGGAGGGGGAUAACUACUGGAAACGGUAGCUAAUACCGCAUAACGUCGCAAGACCAAAGAGGGGGACCUUCGGGCCUCUUGCCAUCGGAUGUGCCCAGAUGGGAUUAGCUAGUAGGUGGGGUAAUGGCUCACCUAGGCGACGAUCCCUAGCUGGUCUGAGAGGAUGACCAGCCACACUGGAGCUGAGACACGGUCCAG